GGAUUAGAUACCCUGGUAGUCCACGCUGUAAACGAUGAUCACUAGGUGUUCGGAUUUCGGUCUGAGUGCCCAAGCGAAAGCGAUAAGUGAUCCACCUGGGGAGUACGUUCGCAAGAAUGAAACUCAAAGGAAUUGACGGGGGCCCGCACAAGCGGUGGAGCAUGUGGUUUAAUUCGAUGAUACGCGAGGAACCUUACCUGGGCUCUAAUGCCUCGGCUAGAUGGUGAAAGCCGUUUUUCCUUCGGGACCGAGUGCAAGGUGCUGCAUGGUUGUCGUCAGCUCGUGUCG
This 288-nucleotide ribosomal RNA is filed under the name uncultured bacterium. RNAcentral describes it as "partial 16S ribosomal RNA". It matches the Rfam family "Bacterial small subunit ribosomal RNA", at positions 775 to 1067 of the family's 1533-position model. The record is from RNAcentral.